GACGAACGCUGGCGGCGUGCCUAAUACAUGCAAGUUGAGCGCUUAAGGUUGGUACUUGUACCGACUGGAUGAGCAGUGAACGGGUGAGUAACGCGUGGGGAAUCUGCCUUUGAGCGGGGGACAACAUUUGGAAACGAAUGCUAAUACCGCAUAAAAACUUUAAACACAAGUUUUAAGUUUGAAAGAUGCAAUUGCAUCACUCAAAGAUGAUCCCGCGUUGUAUUAGCUAGUUGGUGAGGUAAAGGCUCACCAAGGCGAUGAUACAUAGCCGACCUGAGAGGGUGAUCGGCCACAUUGGGACUGAGACACGGCCCAAACUCCUACGGGAGGCAGCAGUAGGGAAUCUUCGGCAAUGGACGAAAGUCUGACCGAGCAACGCCGCGUGAGUGAAGAAGGUUUUCGGAUCGUAAAACUCUGUUGGUAGAGAAGAACGUUGGUGAGAGUGGAAAGCUCAGCAAGUGACGGUAACUACCCAGAAAGGGACGGCUAACUACGUG
RNAcentral lists this ribosomal RNA (497 nucleotides) under uncultured bacterium. RNAcentral's name for it is "partial 16S ribosomal RNA". It matches the Rfam family "Bacterial small subunit ribosomal RNA", at positions 28 to 507 of the family's 1533-position model. The record is from RNAcentral.